GUGUUAAUAUUGACUCGACGGGCAGCUUCCGGGAAACCAAAGUUUAUAGGUUCCGGGGGAAGUAUGGUUGCAAAGCUUAAACUUAAAGGAAUUGACGGAAGGGCACCACCAGGAGUGGAGCCUGCGGCUUAAUUUGACUCAACACGGGGAAACUCACCCGGCCAGGACACAAUAAGGAUUGACAGAUUGAUAGCUCUUUCUUGAUUUUGUGGGUGGUGGUGCAUGGCCGUUCUUAGUUGGUGGAGCGAUUUGUCUGGUUAAUUCCGAUAACGAACGAGACUCUAGCCUAUUAAAUAGACGAUAUAUCUUAUUAGUAUAUCGAGCUUCUUAGAGGGACGAGCAGCUUCUAGCUGCACGAGAUUGAGCAAUAACAGGUCUGUGAUGCCCUUAGAUGUCCGGGGCUGCACGCGCGCUACAAUGAAAAUAGCAGCGCGUUUCGAAAACCUUUUCUGGAAAGUAUUGGUAAACGCGAAAUAUUUUCGUGAUUGGGAUAGGGGAUUGCAAUUAUUGCCCUUGAACGAGGAAUUCCCAGUAAAUUCGAGUCAUCAGCUCGAGUUGAUUACGUCC
Molecule: ribosomal RNA, 567 nt
Filed under: Mylonchulus sp. MHt19
Lineage: Eukaryota; Metazoa; Nematoda; Enoplea; Mononchida; Mylonchulidae
Description: SSU rRNA
Rfam family: Eukaryotic small subunit ribosomal RNA
Source: RNAcentral